RNAcentral lists this long non-coding RNA (977 nucleotides) under Nicotiana tabacum (common tobacco). RNAcentral's name for it is "long non-coding RNA (NTAB_LNC004238)". Lineage: Eukaryota; Viridiplantae; Streptophyta; Magnoliopsida; Solanales; Solanaceae. The record is from RNAcentral.
ACAACUUGACUAGUAAAUUGCGUAAGCGAACAUAAUUUUUAUUUAUUUCUUGAAGUAUAUCUAUACUUUAAUUUGUGGAAAUAUCUAUUUAAUGAUUUUUUUUAUAUUUCGUACCCCUAAUGUAUGUAAUAAGUUUUAUUUAACCUGUCCUUUUUUAUGAUUUACCUUAAUAAUUCUCAUCGUUAGGAAAUAAGAGCAAGCACUAACGAUGGAGAAAGUUCGUAAAAGGUCCAUUUUGAUAGAUUUUCCCCUCCCCUUCUAACCUUUAUUUUCUUCAUUACUUACUUCCUCUGUUAAUCCUCACAAAAUGAAUUAUUUUAUAAUUUUGCAAAUAAAUAAAUAGAUUAAAAAGCAAAAUCGUAAAAAUCAAGUGAAUGGAAUGUAAAUGUAACUAAAGAAAACAUUGGAUAAUCAGUAUUGUAGUAUAAAUCCAAUUAAAUGGAAGGAUUUGGGCAUGUGGACUUUAAAUUCACAAGUGUAAUUACUCGAUAUUUGCUGGAUGCGCAAGAAUAUGCCUCCCCUAAAUUCCAGUAGAUAUUUUUACCUUUUUAUGUGGAUUACACUUCAAAAAUGAUAUCUUCUAAUAAGCUGCCAAUUAGUUUAUAUUUCAGAAAAGAUGGUUACCAGAAUAUUUAUUGGUACUAACAAAAGUAUUAUUUUGCAGGACAUAUAUAUCCCGAAAAAAAUGUGUUGUAAGCAAAUCAUGGUGGUGUUGGAAAUUUGUAUUUUUGUCUUAGUUUUAUUUCCUGAGACGAUGGUAAACUGUAGAACUCCUGAAGAAACAGAGUUAAUUUGCUAUCUGGUAUGCAGGGAAGACUGGGGGGUUUAUGGAUGGGACUAUACUAAGAACCUUACUCAAGAACAAAUUAAUGAAAAAUGCAGAAGGGGAGAAAGAUUUAUGCCAUGUGAAAUUGAUGGAGAAUUGAUCUUGUAAUUAAUUAUAAAUAUUAUAUUUUCUUAUAGAAACUUGUUCACAU